AUGAACGCUGGCGGCGUGCCUAAUACAUGCAAGUCGAGCGAACGGACGAGAAGCUUGCUUCUCUGAUGUUAGCGGCGGACGGGUGAGUAACACGUGGAUAACCUACCUAUAAGACUGGGAUAACUUCGGGAAACCGGAGCUAAUACCGGAUGAUAUUUUGAACCGCAUGGUUCAAAAGUGAAAGACGGUCUCGCUGUCACUUAUAGAUGGAUCCGCGCUGCAUUAGCUAGUUGGUAAGGUAACGGCUUACCAAGGCAACGAUGCAUAGCCGACCUGAGAGGGUGAUCGGCCACACUGGAACUGAGACACGGUCCAGACUCCUACGGGAGGCAGCAGUAGGGAAUCUUCCGCAAUGGGCGAAAGCCUGACGGAGCAACGCCGCGUGAGUGAUGAAGGUCUUCGGAUCGUAAAACUCUGUUAUUAGGGAAGAACAUAUGUGUAAGUAACUGUGCACAUCUUGACGGUACCUAAUCAGAAAGCCACGGCUAACUACGUG
Molecule: ribosomal RNA, 496 nt
Filed under: uncultured bacterium
Lineage: Bacteria
Description: partial 16S ribosomal RNA
Rfam family: Bacterial small subunit ribosomal RNA
Source: RNAcentral